RNAcentral lists this ribosomal RNA (449 nucleotides) under uncultured bacterium. RNAcentral describes it as "bacterial SSU rRNA". It matches the Rfam family "Bacterial small subunit ribosomal RNA", at positions 28 to 457 of the family's 1533-position model. The record is from RNAcentral.
GAUGAACGCUGGCGGCGUGCUUAACACAUGCAAGUCGAGCGAAGCACUCUGCUUUGAUUCUUUCGGGAUGAAGAGCAUUGUGACUGAGCGGCGGACGGGUGAGUAACGCGUGGGUAACCUGCCUCAUACAGGGGGAUAACAGUUAGAAAUGGCUGCUAAUACCGCAUAAGACCACAGCACCGCAUGGUGCAGGGGUAAAAACUCCGGUGGUAUGAGGUGGACCCGCGUCUGAUUAGCUAGUUGGUGGGGUAACGGCCUACCAAGGCGACGAUCAGUAGCCGACCUGAGAGGGUGACCGGCCACAUUGGGACUGAGACACGGCCCAAACUCCUACGGGAGGCAGCAGUGGGGAAUAUUGCACAAUGGGGGAAACCCUGAUGCAGCGACGCCGCGUGAGCGAAGAAGUAUUUCGGUAUGUAAAGCUCUAUCAGCAGGGAAGAAAAUGACGG